Molecule: ribosomal RNA, 301 nt
Filed under: uncultured bacterium
Lineage: Bacteria
Description: partial 16S ribosomal RNA
Rfam family: Bacterial small subunit ribosomal RNA
Source: RNAcentral
CAGUCGCCGCGGUAAUACGUAGGUGGCAAGCGUUGUCCGGAAUUAUUGGGCGUGAAGGGCUCGCAGGCGGUUUCUUAAGUCUGAUGUGAAAGCCCCCGGCUCAACCGGGGAGGGUCAUUGGAAACUGGGAAACUUGAGUGCAGAAGAGGAGAGUGGAAUUCCACGUGUAGCGGUGAAAUGCGUAGAGAUGUGGAGGAACACCAGUGGCGAAGGCGACUCUCUGGUCUGUAACUGACGCUGAGGAGCGAAAGCGUGGGGAGCGAACAGGAUUAGAUACCCGCGUAGUCCCUGUCUCUUAUAA